GAAAUGCGAUAAGUAAUGUGAAUUGCAGAAUUCAUUGAAUCAUCGAAUCUUUGAACGCAGCUUGCGCUCCUUGGUAUUCCUUGGAGCAUGCCUGUUUGAGUAUCAUGAAAUCUUCAAAGUAAAUCUUUUGUUAACUCAAUUGGUUUCUACUUUGGUAUUGGAGGUCUUUGCAGCUUCACACCUGCUCCUCUUUGUUCAUUAGCUGGAUCUCAGUAUUAUGCUUGGUUCCACUCGGCGUGAUAAGUUAUCUAUCGCUGAGGACACUGUAAAAGGUGGCCAAGGUAAAUGCAGAUGAACCGCUUCUAAUAGUCCAUUGACUUGGACAAUACUUUUAUGAUCUGAUCUCAAAUCAGGUAGGACUACCCGCUGAACUUAAGC
This 378-nucleotide unclassified non-coding RNA is filed under the name plant metagenome. RNAcentral describes it as "partial contains 5.8S ribosomal RNA, internal transcribed spacer 2, and large subunit ribosomal RNA". The stretch from base 1 to 105 matches the Rfam family "5.8S ribosomal RNA", at positions 50 to 154 of the family's 154-position model. The record is from RNAcentral.